Molecule: RNA transcript, 2573 nt
Organism: Cornus florida
Lineage: Eukaryota; Viridiplantae; Streptophyta; Magnoliopsida; Cornales; Cornaceae
Gene name: probable nucleoredoxin 1
Exons: 5
Source: RefSeq, a predicted model, not a curated record
CACGGAGUUUAUGCUAGAGAAGUUCUAGAAACAAAUGGCUAACGCGAAAAACGACACCGUCUCUCACGAUCUCCUCUCUCUUCUCCCCUCAGAAGAAAGGGACUUCCUUAUCCGCAACAAUGGUGACCAGGCUAAAAUAGGUAAUUUGGUUGGAAAGAUAGUAGGGUUAUAUUUCUCUGGUUCAUGGUGUGGUCCAUGUUGCCAUUUUACCCCAACUUUGGUGGAAGUCUAUGAAGAACUCUCAACUAAAGGUGAUUUUGAAGUCGUCUUCAUUUCGUCCGAUGAAGAUGAUGAAUCAUUUAAUGGCUACUUUGCCAAAAUGCCAUGGCUUGCCAUUCCAUUUUCUGAUACUAAGACGCGUAAACGCAUCAAAGAGUUGUUUAAAGUCAGUGGGAUCCCUCAUCUUGUUAUCCUUGACGGUACUGGUAAGGUUUCAUCUGAUCAAGGGGUUAGAGUUAUUAGAGACUAUGGUGCUGAGGCGUAUCCAUUUACGCCCGAAAGAAUCAACAUUUUGAAAGAGGAAGAAGAGGCCGCGAAGAGGGAACAAUCCUUGAAGUCUAUCUUGGUUUCUAGCUCCAGCGAUUUUGUGAUUUCAAAUGAUGGUAAUAAGAUUCCUGUACCAGAGCUUGAAGGAAAGAUGGUUGGCCUGUAUUUCUUCGUAAGUGCUCAUGGAGAAUGCCUUGAAUUUACCACGAAACUUGCAGAGGUUUACAAGAAACUCAAGGAGAAAGGAGAGAACUUUGAAGUUGUAUUAAUAUCUCUAGAUGAUGAAGAUGAAGAGUUCAAACAAGAAUUUGGAAAGAUGCCAUGAUUAGCCUUGCCUCUCAAGGACAAGAGCUGCAAAAAGGUUGUCCGAUACUUUGAGCUUAGAGCGCUUCCUACACUUGUUGUAAUCGGUCCAGAUGGGAAGACGCUGCACUCCAAUGUGGCUGAACUUAUUGAAGAACAUGGUGUUGAAGCCUACCCUUUUACACCGGAGAGGCUUGUUGAGCUCGCUGAGAUAGAGAAGGCAAAACUUGAAUCACAAACUCUAGAGUCAAUUUUGGUCUCUGAGGAUCGUGAUUUUGUGAUUUCAAAUGAGGGUAAUAAGAUUCCUGUACCAGAGCUUGAAGGAAAGAUGGUUGGCCUGUAUUUCUUCAUAGGUUCUCACGGAGGAUGCCUUGAAUUUACCACGAAACUUGGGGAGGUUUACAAGAAACUCAAGGAGAAAGGAGAGAACUUUGAAGUUGUGUUAAUAUCUCUAGAUGAUGAAGAAGAAGAGUUCAAACAAGAAUUUGGAAAGAUGCCAUGGUUAGCCUUGCCUCUCAAGGACAAGAGCUGCAAAAAGCUUGUCCGAUACUUUGAGCUUAGGGCGCUUCCUACACUCGUUGUAAUCGGUCCAGAUGGGAAGACUCUGCACUCCAAUGUGGCUGAACUUAUUGAAGAACAUGGUGUUGAAGCCUACCCUUUUACACCGGAGAGGCUUGUUGAGCUCGCUGAGAUAGAGAAGGCAAAACUUGAAUCACAAACUCUAGAGUCAAUUUUGGUCUCUGAGGAUCGUGACUUUGUGAUCGGAAAAGGUGGUUCUGAGGUCCCUGUAUCUGAACUUGUUGGAAAGAACAUCCUCCUCUAUUUCUCAGCACAUUGGUGUCCUCCAUGCCGCACUUUUCUGCCUACACUUAUCACAGCCUACCACGAGAUUAAGGCAAAAGAUGAUGCAUUUGAAGUUAUUUUCAUCUCAAGUGAUCGCUAUCAAUCCGCUUUCGAUGACUUCUUUUCAGGCAUGCCAUGGUUGGCUCUCCCUUUUGGUGAUAAGAGGAAGGCGUUCCUCCAGCGCAGGUUCAAAAUCAGAGGCAUUCCUGCUGCCAUAGCCAUUGGAGCUAGUGGCCUGACAGUCGCUCCAGAAGCCAGGCAGCUCUUACAAUCUCAUGGCGCAGAUGCCUAUCCCUUCACCGACGAUCAUAUCAAGAUAUUGGAGGAAAGGAUUGAUGAAAUUGCAAAGGGGUGGCCUGAGAAGGUGAAAGACGAGCGCCAUGUGAAGCAUGAGCUCACACGCACUCGUAGGAAUGGUUAUGUCUGUAACGGCUGUAGGGAGUCGGGACAUGGUUGGUCCUUUUAUUGUAAGGAAUGUGACUUUGAUCUCCAUCCCAAGUGUGCUCUAAAGGAUGAUCAGAAGAUUCAGAAGGAGAAUGGUGAAGGGGGUACUGCAAAAGCGGAGGGGGGAUGGACCUGUGAAGGCGGUGUGUGCCGUAAAGCACGAGGAAGCCAUAUCUAGCAUUUGCACAAGAAUCAUGUAGAUUACUGUAACAGUUUGUGAUGCUCUAUAUAAGGGGUCUUUGUAGAUUGUGUGAAGAUGUGUUUGGGAAGUGAAUAAAAGUGUGAGACAUCUGUAGAUUGUGUGAAGAUGUGUGUGUGUGUGUGUGACGAUGUGUUUGGGAAGUGAAUAAAAUUGUGAGACAUGAUUGGAUCAUGAUCUAUAAGUACUAGUUGUUCAAUGAAACUUGAAAUUGUGUCUUAAUGUUUGAUUGGUUUAUGUUCUUGAUCUGUAUUCUGUACCUGGAGCUAGAGGAAUGUGGAGUUUAGGUUAGCUCAUA